This 493-nucleotide long non-coding RNA is filed under the name Carica papaya (papaya). RNAcentral describes it as "long non-coding RNA (CPAP_LNC016454)". Lineage: Eukaryota; Viridiplantae; Streptophyta; Magnoliopsida; Brassicales; Caricaceae. The record is from RNAcentral.
UUUAACAAUGUUUUCCCAAAGUUUUUACCUAAAAUCUCACAAUACUCUCAAAAAUCAUACACUUCACACACUUUCUUCUUUCCUCACCUUUAUGAUUCUCACUAUUUUUCUCUCAUCUGGAAUCUAUCUUUCUCCCUUCUCUCAUUCUUUAUUUAUGAGAGUGGGGAGCCACGAAAGAAAAGUUGCCACCAUUUCGUCAUACCAUUUAAUCUAAAAGUUUUCACCUUUCAUCACGCCAAUCCAUCUAAAAGGUUACAACAUUUCACAUUUCUCUUUAUCUAAAAGAUUACCACUUUUCACAUGUCAUUUCAUCUACAAUGUUACCACUUUUUACAUGCUACUUCAUCUAAAAGUUGUCAUUUCUGUUAUGUCACUUCAUCUAAAAGUUGGCCCUUUUCACAUGUCACUUCAUCUAAAAGUUAUCACUUUUCGUUAUAUCACUUCAUCUAAAAAUUACCACUUUUCAUUGUACUACUUCAUCUAAAAAGUUCUC